RNAcentral lists this transfer-messenger RNA (359 nucleotides) under Campylobacter jejuni. It matches the Rfam family "transfer-messenger RNA". Rfam says of the family: Bacterial tmRNA, also known as 10Sa RNA or SsrA, is named for its dual tRNA and mRNA-like properties. Its role is to liberate the mRNA from a stalled ribosome. The record is from RNAcentral. Lineage: Bacteria; Pseudomonadati; Campylobacterota; Epsilonproteobacteria; Campylobacterales; Campylobacteraceae. RNAcentral also lists the same sequence under 1 other name.
GGGAGCGACUUGGCUUCGACAGGAGUAAGUCUGCUUAGAUGGCAUGUCGCUUUGGGCAAAGCGUAAAAAGCCCAAAUAAAAUUAAACGCAAACAACGUUAAAUUCGCUCCUGCUUACGCAAAAACUGCGUAAGUUCAGUUGAGCCUGAAAUUUAAGUCAUACUAUCUAGCUUAAUUUUCGGUCAUUUUUGAUAGUGUAGCCUUGCGUUUGACAAGCGUUGAGGUGAAAUAAAGUCUUAGCCUUGCUUUUGAGUUUUGGAAGAUGAGCGAAGUAGGGUGAAGUAGUCAUCUUUGCUAAGCAUGUAGAGGUCUUUGUGGGAUUAUUUUUGGACAGGGGUUCGAUUCCCCUCGCUUCCACCA